Molecule: ribosomal RNA, 400 nt
Filed under: uncultured bacterium
Lineage: Bacteria
Description: bacterial SSU rRNA
Rfam family: Bacterial small subunit ribosomal RNA
Source: RNAcentral
UAUUGGGCAAUGGGGGAAACCCUGACCCAGCAACGCCGCGUGAAGGACGAAGGCCUUCGGGUUGUAAACUUCUUUGAUCAGGGACGAAACAAAUGACGGUACCUGAAGAACAAGCCACGUCUAACUACGUGCCAGCAGCCGCGGUAAUACGUAGGUGGCGAGCGUUAUCCGGGUUUACUGGGUGUAAAGGGCGUGUAGGCGGGUUUGCAAGUCGGGUGUGAAAUAUCCAGGCUUAACUGGGAUGGGUCAUCCGAAACUGCAGAUCUUGAGUGCUGGAGAGGAUAGUGGAAUUCCUGGUGUAGCGGUAAAAUGCGUAGAUAUCAGGAGGAACACCAGUGGCGAAGGCGGCUAUCUGGACAGUAACUGACGCUGAGGCGCGAAAGCGUGGGUAGCAAACAGG